This 445-nucleotide ribosomal RNA is filed under the name uncultured bacterium. RNAcentral's name for it is "partial 16S ribosomal RNA". It matches the Rfam family "Bacterial small subunit ribosomal RNA", at positions 354 to 796 of the family's 1533-position model. The record is from RNAcentral.
GUGAGGAAUAUUGCGCAAUGGAGGCAACUCUGACGCAGCCAUGCCGCGUGCAGGAAGAAGGCGCUACGCGUUGUAGACUGCUUUUAACCGGGAAGAAACCCCAGGAGGUGUCCUGGGUUGACGGUACCGGAGGAAUAAGCACCGGCUAACUUCGUGCCAGCAGCCGCGGUAAUACGAAGGGUGCAAGCGUUAUCCGGAUUCAUUGGGUUUAAAGGGUGCGUAGGCGGAGCGUUAAGUCAGUGGUGAAAUCCUGCAGCUUAACUGUAGACUUGCCAUUGAUACUGGCGCUCUUGAGUGCGCUUGAAGUGGGCGGAAUGUGCCGUGUAGCGGUGAAAUGCUUAGAUAUGGCACAGAACACCAAUUGCGAAGGCAGCUCACUAAGGCGAUACUGACGCUGAGGCACGAAAGCGUGGGGAUCGAACAGGAUUAGAAACCCCUGUAGUCC